UACGAAGGGGGCUAGCGUUGCUCGGAAUCACUGGGCGUAAAGGGUGCGUAGGCGGGUCUUUAAGUCCGGGGUGAAAUCCUGGAGCUCAACUCCAGAACUGCCUUUGAUACUGAAGAUCUUGAGUUCGAGAGAGGUGAGUGGAACUGCGAGUGUAGAGGUGAAAUUCGUAGAUAUUCGCAAGAACACCAGUGGCGAAGGCGAGUCCCUGGACGACUCCUGACACUGAGGCACGAAAGCUAGGGGAGCAAACAGG
This 253-nucleotide ribosomal RNA is filed under the name uncultured bacterium. RNAcentral describes it as "partial 16S ribosomal RNA". It matches the Rfam family "Bacterial small subunit ribosomal RNA", at positions 524 to 776 of the family's 1533-position model. The record is from RNAcentral.